This 1134-nucleotide long non-coding RNA is filed under the name Homo sapiens (human). Its description in RNAcentral is "HSALNT0066318". The record is from RNAcentral. Lineage: Eukaryota; Metazoa; Chordata; Mammalia; Primates; Hominidae.
UAAAAAUGGGAGCUUCCCUGCAGACGCUUUCUUCUCGUCUGUCGCCAUGUGAGAUGUACCUUUCACUUUCCUCCAUGAUUGUGAGGCCUCCUUAGCCACAUGGAACUGCCCUGGCAAUCACUAUUCCAGUCUCUGCUUCUAUGAGUUUGACUAUUUCAGAUUCCACAUGUAGGAAAUGCUGGAGUCCUUCAUCCGAAUGGUAAAUGGCACUUGUGACAAAAAUCAAAGUAACUAAAAAAGAAUCUGGUUGAAACCUCAGUAACAGUUGGCCUGUCUACUGCCUCACACUAACAAGGGGGAGCUAAUAAAACCGAGGUUAGAACACACAAUGUGGAAAUGAAAACCUUAUUCUUGUCAAUGGAUGGAGGUGACCCCCACCUUUACAAGUGUCUGUAAUUCUCACUAGCAGUAUAUUAGAGGGCAAAAGAUUUGAACAGACACAUCAGAAAAGAAGACAUACAAAUGGCCGCUAAGCACUUGAAAGGAUUCUGAACACCAUUAGUCAUCAGUGAAAUGCAAAUUAAAGCCAUAAUGAAUGGCGCUAUACAUUUUCAGAAUGGCAAGGAUUGAAGACCGAAAAAAAUCAAGCGUUGAGGAGAGUGACAAAUGGGGAGACAGCCGUGGUGCAUGAUCGCCGAAUAAAUACCAUGUGAGGAUACAGCAAGAAGGUGGCCAUCUACAAGCCAAGGAGACAGGCCUCAGAAGAAACCAACCCUUCUUACACCCUGGACUCAGACUUCUAAUCUCCAGAACUUGUUAAUGCACAAGGUCUUGUGUUGAAAAUGUAGAGCCACGAGAUAAAAGCAGCUUGGAUGGCUGACUCAUAUACAAGGACAACUGCCUGAGAGUCACCAGGGCUAUCAAGAAGUUUGCAGAAACAAGAAAUAAACUUUUACUGUUUUAAACUUUUGUGAAUUUUGGGUUUUGUUUAUCACCAAAUAAACCUAGUCUAUUCUGAUUGUUAUAAGUGGUUAAUUUGGGAAGUCAGAUAUAUUUAAAAUUGGCUUACUGCUGUAACAUAUACAGUCCAAAUUACAUAAUGGCUCAAAUGCAAUAGAAGUCUUUUUUUUUUUUGCUCACAUAUCACUUCACUGAGAUUCUGCAUUAAUUGUAAUGAUGAGGGUGAGGGUGUCU